Molecule: long non-coding RNA, 4923 nt
Filed under: Eucalyptus grandis
Lineage: Eukaryota; Viridiplantae; Streptophyta; Magnoliopsida; Myrtales; Myrtaceae
Description: long non-coding RNA (EGRA_LNC005861)
Source: RNAcentral
GCAAUUGGACAGAAACGCUCAACUGUGGCACAAUUAGUUCAAAUUCUUUCCGAAGCGAAUGCUUUGGAAUAAGUGGAUCAUUACUUUUUGACAAGCAAAAAAAGUCAUACACCUAUUAAAUAGAAGUAUACUAGUAACGAAGCAGGCUAAUGGCUCAUUGUGAUAUGUGAGUAUGUAGGUAAUUUUGUAAUCGUUCCUUACAAUGAAAUGAUUUGCAUUAAAACGUGAAUUAUCUUGAGAAGUACCUAUUUGCAUAAACGAUGAUGUGGUAAAUAAUGUUUCUCUGAUUUCGAUCCUCGUAGGUUGCGGACUCAUUGUGCCACGGAACCCUAUAUAAUAGCAACAAACCGGCAACUGAGUGAGAUGCACCCAAUCUACAAGUUGCUGCACCCGCACUUCCGGUACACGAUGCAGAUCAAUGCGCUGGCUCGCGGGUUUCUGAUCAAUGGCGACGGGAUCAUCGAGAGCUCCUUCUCUCCCGGCAAGUAUUCCAUGGAGCUCAGCGCCGUCGCCUAUGACAAGCAGUGGCAAUUCGACUUACAAGGCUUGCCCAAUGACUUAAUUAGCAGGUAUUAUACAUCAAUUAAUUACUUGCACACCUCUUUUUUCUUUUUCUUUUUUUCCCCCUUAUUAACGUGAAGAACAUAAAAAUCGUUGGCACAUGGAGCGUUCUCAAGCUUUUCUGUUCGUGUCAAUUCUUGCCAGGGGAUUGGCAGUGGAAGACCCGACGGCACCCCAUGGCCUCAGGCUAGCGAUCGAGGACUACCCCUUCGCCAACGAUGGCCUCCUCUUGUGGGACGCCAUCAAGGAGUGGGUCACCGACUACGUCAGCCACUACUACCCCGACCCAAGCCGCAUUGCGUCGGACAAGGAGCUCCAGUCCUGGUGGACUGAGAUCCGGACCGUCGGCCAUGGUGACAAGAAAGACUCCCCCGGGUGGCCCGACCUCAAGACCCCGUCCGACCUCGUCCACAUUAUCACCACCAUGGUCUGGGUCACCUCCGGCCACCAUGCUGCUGUCAACUUUGGCCAGUACACCUAUGCCGGUUACUUCCCGAACCGGCCCACCAUCGCCCGAACCAAGAUGCCCGUCGAGGACCCGACCGAGGAAGAGCUCAAGAUCUUCUGGGACAAGCCUGAAACCACACUCCUCACGUGCUUCCCGUCACAGAUACAGGCGACCAAGGUGAUGGCAAUCCUCGACGUGCUGUCGAACCACUCGCCAGAUGAGGAGUAUCUGGGACAGGAUCCGGAACCAGCGUUGAAAGAGGAGCCGGCGAUAAAGACAGCAUUCGAGAGGUUCAGCGGGAGGCUGAAGGAGCUUGAGGGCAUCAUCGACAAGAGGAACACCGACCAAAGGUUUAAGAAUCGAAGUGGAGCCGGGAUCGUGCCGUACGAACUCUUGAAGCCAUUCUCCGAGCCAGGCGUGACAGGGAAGGGAGUUCCAUACAGCAUUUCUAUCUGAGCAAACGACAUUCUUGUUCGUGGUGGCGACCACAUUGGCUGCGGAGAGAGAACUUCUCUCUCUGUUUUGUAGAAGAAGAGAGAGCGUGGUAUAUGCGGAUGAUAAUGUGGUCAUCCUAAUUUGUUAACAUUUUUUAUUUUAAUUUCAUGAUCUAAUUUGUCGUUUUACCAAUAUCUAUGGAAUUAUGAUUAAAUGAUUAAUUUCAGUUCUAGUCCUCUAUCAAUUGCCAAAAGAAAGCAAGUGACGAAGUGCAUAAAACGUUAUCUUCAUUACAUCUAUCUUCCCCAUAGAUACCAUAUUCCACUACUGUUACAUACUAAUACAGAAUUUAAAAACUUGGGUACAAGGUCAGUUCAAUAGAUUAGCUAAACAUGCUUCUCAGCCACAAGCAAGAGACAAGAGGCAUGCACUUCCAGCAAGCAAAUUGAUGAGGGUAAAAAUUAAAUGGAUUAUAUGGAGUUAUUAAUGCCAGCAUCAUGCAAGUCCAGUUUUGCAUGCACUCUUAGAUCAGGCAGUUCCGUCAACAUAUCCAAUUAUGGGCCAAUUAUGAUAUAUUAAUCAUUUCACACACCUUUUAUAUGAUGUGAGAUUUUCCUAACAUAACUUAUACGUACAUCUUAACAAAAAGGUGAUUGGCCAGAGUUUGACUACCACAACUAAAAAGGUGAGGAAUAAAAUCAAGAAAGUCAUUCAAAACUAAACAUUUAGAAUUUUCCCACCUAAACAUUUUUUCUCUCAUUUUUCUCAAACACUUACUUAAGUAUCAGAGAGUUCUAUUGAGAAAAUUUUAGGAGACUUUAUUUUUCGUGCACAAUGAUACAAUGUAGAAGAAGAUCAAUCUAGUUUGAAGCUCAUCUUAAACAUCCGCAUCAAAUAUCCUUUUCUUGUAUUUUACAUGAGGCACAAUCGAUAAAAAAAAAAUUCUUUCCACAAGUAGACUUGAGAUUGUACCGUGAAUGUGCUUAAUAAGGUGCUAUUUGUUUCACAAAAAAUUCUUAUUAGAAAACAUUUUCUGAUAUUUAGGUUGCUUAGAAAGAUGAGUCUAUAGAAGAUAUCUUCAUAGUCAACGAAAAACAUAUACUUAGACUUAGGAAAAUAAUUUCUCUUUUAAAAAUCAAAAAUCAUUUUCUAAAAUACAACUAGAUAUUGACGUUUGCACUAGAGUUUUUGCACUUGGGCACGAGAACCCCAUUGCCUAUGCCAUUACAUACCAAUGCCUAUGCAUGAGUCCUCGACGGCCAUACAUCGAAUUCCAUGCCCAAGUCACAGUGCUUGGGCCGAGGUUGAUCAAGGCCGAGCUAGGUUCCUCAUCGAUCAUGGUUGGGUUAACAAAGGCUAGGGCCCAAGACCCAAUUCCCAUGCUUGGGUGCUCGACUCCUUUGGCCAUGUGAUUGAUGCUGGGGCCAAGUCUCUUGAGGCUAGCUUGAGGCUCUAAUGCCCAUGCUUGGGUCCCCGACGGCUGUGCAUGGAGAUCAAUGCUUGUGCUAGAAUCCACAGCAACCAUGUUGUGGUGUUAUGAUUAAAUAUGCAAUGUAGAGAGAUGAAUAGGUUACUAAUCAAAAGUUGAUGUAUUCUUGCAAAUAUGUGAACAAUUAUAUAUAUAGGAGUAAACUGAUGAUAUCAAGUACAAUGUGUUACUAUUAUCUUGACACCUAAUUUAGGAUUAAACUUAUUUUUUAGAAAAUAAAAAUAGAGGAUAAUAAAUAAUAUAUAAAAUAAAACAUCUAAAGGGAGAUUUUGGAAAUUUUUGAAUAAUGAAACAUUUUUUUUUGUUGAACAUAUCUCCUCAUUUCAAAAUUAAAAAAUUCAGCGGUUGAGUGAUUUUGGAGUCAUUUUUCUUGUUGAGUGAUUGAGUGAAUAUGUGUAAUUAUAUUGAAAAAUCUUCAACAACUUUGAGUUUUUCUCUCUAAAUAAAGAAUGCGAGGCUUCGGAACCAGGGGCUUCUCUCGGUUUCGAGGUCAAGAAAAAUUCGACAAAAAAGAGAGAAAAGCUUUCGUGCUCUUUUCGAGGGAAAAGAAAAGUCAGCAAAGAAACAGCGAAGAGAAGAAGACAGAGAGAGGGAAAUGACGUGAGAGAGACGUGAGGAGAGAGGAUACAGUGAGAGGUGAGAGAGGCUGACGUGAAGUAACGUUCGACCAGAAAAAAAAAAGAAAAGGGGAGGCAGCGACUGUUCAUCUUCUCCGCGAGGGCCCCCGACGCGCCGGCCCUGCGCUCGCACCGGUCACUGCGCCGGCACCGCCUCCGCCAGCCGCUACCGCGCUUCCGCCACCGCGCGUCCGCCACAGCCGCUUCGCCGGUCUCCCCACGAAGCUCGCCGCGACGACCUGGCGCCGCGCCUCGCUCACCGACGCUCCCUGCAACCCGCCGAUCCCCGCGAUGCUGCACCAGCCUGAGAACUUGUACCGGCCGCCGCACCAACAACCCUUCAGCAGAUCGCCUCCGCCUGCAACCCACCCCUGUUGCCGACGCCUGUAGCUCACACCGACCCGCGACCCAGCUGCUCGCCGGUCACUAUCGUCCCCUCUCGCCAGUCACCGUACCAGCAUCGCCGUUCGUCGCCCUUGCUGCAGCCACGACGACCCGACGCCCUCUCUGCCCGAGUGCUGUCUCGUCGCUUCACCACUGCACCUCCGCAUCAGCUUCUGCGACCCACACCAGCAGCCUAAGCGCUGCCUUCCGCCCGGCGCCCGACGUCCGCACACCCCCUUUUUGCCGCAGCCACCGUCUCCGCCACUGCGCCUCAGCCCGCGCCACCACCGCUGCGACCCGCGACCCUGCUGUUCGCCGGUCACCGACGCCGCGCCUCCCUGCUGCUGCUGCCGCCCAGUCCUUGCCGAAACUCCGACGCCGGCUGUCUCCCUCGCCCGCUCCAACGCCGACCAUCCUUCAUCCGAAGUUGUCCAGCAAGUUCAGUACUGUUGGUACCAUUUUCCUCGUGCAGGUCACUUGAGGCUUGAGAAUGGUGAAUUUGGAAUCGUUCCUUGCUGGUUUCCAUCUUGGAGAUAAUUUUUCCAAGCUAGGUAAUCUGUUUAGGUUAAAUUCAGUUCGACUAUACGAUUUCUUAGCUUGUGAUCCUAACUUAAUCGGUCAUAUAUAAUUGUUACCCGAUCAGGAAAUUUGUCAUAUUAAGCCAUAAUAAUAAAAAAUAUUGAACCGCGAGACAACGGGUUAGAUUUUUUAUUAUUUCAACUUUUCAGGGCAAAUUUAUGGAUUGCUUUGCAUAAUUGAUUUGCAUUAAGAUAAUAUGUCAUUGAUUUACAUUAGUGGAUUUUCAAUAGGACAUAUAUUUUGGUGCGUUAUCGUUAUCUACUUAUCACAUAUCAUGAAUCGUAUGUCAUAUCUAGGAUUUAGGUACACAUAUCUUUAUAGUGGUUUAGCUUAGAUCAAAUCAUGUUCACUUUCCCACACUAAUAAUAGCCACCAAUGGACUAUAAUCUAGUAGCAAUACUUUGAGAAGU